RNAcentral lists this ribosomal RNA (482 nucleotides) under uncultured bacterium. RNAcentral describes it as "partial 16S ribosomal RNA". It matches the Rfam family "Bacterial small subunit ribosomal RNA", at positions 30 to 507 of the family's 1533-position model. The record is from RNAcentral.
AUUGAACGCUGGCGGCAUGCCUUACACAUGCAAGUCGAACGGUAACAGGUCUUCGGAUGCUGACGAGUGGCGAACGGGUGAGUAAUACAUCGGAACGUGCCCGAUCGUGGUGGGUAACGAGGCGAAAGCUUUGCUAAUACCGCAUACGAUCUACGGUUGAAAGCGGGGGAUCUUCGGACCUCGCGCGGACGGAGCUGCCGAUGGCAGAUUAGGUAGUUGGUGGGAUAAAAGCUUACCAAGCCGACGAUCUGUAGCUGGUCUGAGAGGAUGAUCAGCCACACUGGAACUGAGACACGGCCCAGACUCCUACGGGAGGCAGCAGUGGGGAAUUUUGGACAAUAGGCGAAAGCCUGAUCCAGCAAUGCCGCGUGCAGGAUGAAGGCCUUCGGGUUGUAAACUGCUUUUGUACGGAACGAAAAGCCUCUUUCUAAUAAAGAGGGGUCAUGACGGUACCGUAAGAAUAAGCACCGGCUAACUACGUG